This 163-nucleotide microRNA precursor is filed under the name Oryza brachyantha (malo sina). RNAcentral's name for it is "MIR812 microRNA precursor family". It matches the Rfam family "MIR812 microRNA precursor family", at positions 27 to 193 of the family's 205-position model. The record is from Rfam by way of RNAcentral. Lineage: Eukaryota; Viridiplantae; Streptophyta; Magnoliopsida; Poales; Poaceae.
UAUAAUUUUUGACUUUUCGUUUUAUUUAAUUUUUUUUUACGAUUGAUAUUUUUUAUUAAAUGAUAAAUCAUGAAUAGUACUUUACGUGUGAUUAUUUUUUUUUAAUUUUUUGAAAAUUUUUCAAAUAAAACGGAUGGUCAAAUGCUGGACACAAAAAUCGAAG